CAGCAGGCUGCCACAAAAGGGCUGUGUUAGCAUCCAGCAUCUUGAUGACUGCAAGGCAGGCUUUAAAUAAGGGAAGAAAUCAAACAAGGACUUUACAUCUGUGGUUGUGCAAGUGCGUCACAUUGGUUAGAAUUUAAGAAUUUUUUUUAUAUCUGUAUACUCUCACUUAAUCAAGGAGUGACAUUUUUCUGGUGCAUUCAAGAUGUCUUUAUUACAAGUAUUCAUUAGGAUGGACCACACCACAAUUAGCUGAGAUUUGAAUUCAUACUCUGUGUAGUCGCUGGUAUGACAUAUUCUAAAGUGAAUGGGCGAAGAUGGGAAUUGCAUGUAGUUAUUUUGUGUUGAAUGCUAUGGUUUUGUGGAGUGCAUAUGAAGAAAUAAAGUUUCAUAAAUGACAAAUAAAUUUCAUGUUGAUAAAUUGUGGAACUGUGUUUGUUAUUUUUCUUUUUUGUGAGAUAAUAAUAAUACAAAAUUUGUAAAGCACAAGCUCACAGUCCUAAGAUAUCUUACCGCCUAAGAACAAGAGUGAAACCUGGACAGUGUACGAGGGACAGGAAAACAAACACAUUAAAAAAGUGAUGGUGCCAAUGUGUUACUGAGGUGGCACAUGAAACUUUGAACUUUAAAAGCAGUUGUGGCACACAGCUCUAUGCCGACUUCCUCUGUUUAGUGGAAUCAUAGCCGGCACCUAUGUUCAAGCAUCUGAUUGACCCGUCAAAUAUUUCAUUUAUACCUAAAAAUCAUGAAGAUCAUUGUUUCCCACUAGUUAGCUGUUUUUUUUAAUUGUCAUACUCCAUUAAAAGUCAUCAUGCUGUAAUAUUAAAGGACUUGUAGGCUGCAAUUUUCUGUGUAUGGUGAUGAUUUUUGCUGUAUUUUAAAAAUCAGAGAAGGAUAUGCAGAUUUCAGUAAAUAUUACCUUACAUUGAGCUUUACCACUCAUUACCAAACAGUAGUGCACCCUCCUUAAGCAGGUCCCAUUCUCGGAAAACAUUUUGGAUCAUGCACAUCAGAAGUUUAUUGCCUGGUCAAGAGUCAUAAUCAAACUUUUAAAAUGUUACUGACUAGCAUAGGUUUAAGUUUGAGUGCUGGUGAGUGAGAGUGCUUUAUUCCAAAAAUACUGAAAAAAGCAAAACUGAUGAAUGACCUCUUUGUUUAGUUGAUUUCAGUGUCUAAAGGAAACUCAUUAAUUGGAGCAUGGAAGUGGGAUAGCUUCUCCACACUCAUCACCACUUUCAAUACCACACAGGAAACACAGCAACAAAAUUGCCUAGGACGCUUACCACAGGGGGAAGAAAUAUGGUUUUAUCAAGCCAUUGCAAUCGUGACUAGUGGGAUUGACCUGAGAAAAGUUAAACAAAGGGUAUGAUCCCUUGAGGAUGUGAAAUCAAAUUCUUUCAGUGACUACAGCUCGCAUGCUUGCUGGCUGUGUGGUAUUCAAAGACAAAAUCUGCAUUGUUGGUGAAAACUCUGCAGUGAGUGAACGAUGGUACAAGGAAUAUUUAGCUGAGUACUGUGUGAGUUCAUUGGAAACAUUUGACCCGACAACAGAAACAUGGAUGGCUGGGCCAGAGCUGCCAAAUCCACUAUGUGGAGCAGGUUUGGUCAAGUUUGGUGAAACCCUCACGAUUGUUGGUUGGGAGGACGAUAAAAGCUGGAUGGUUGGAAUGUGCUGGUUGCGAGAAGAUAAGGAUAGACUUACAUGGAGCGAGGGAAUUGAACUCCCGACUGUAAUGAGCACAUUUGAUUAUGUUGUAGCCAAUAUGCAAAAAAGAACCAAACAUGCAGUUCCUGAAAUUAUUGGGGGCAUUUCUUUAAACAACAAGAUUGUCAAUUCAUAUAAAAAAACAAGGAAGAAGAGGGGAAAUGUUUACUCUGAUUCGUUUUCUUUAAUGUUGAUCAUCAAUACACAUGAGGUCAUGUUUUAUUCCAGAGAUGUUAAUGUCAAACAGUACACUGUGGGAACAUAUAAUACACAGAUUUAAAGACAUGUCCUUACAUUUGUUAGAAGAUUUUUUUAGAGGUGUGUAUAUAUGUUGUUGGGGUGUGAUGAAUGUAUUUGUGUCAGUUCCUCACAGUUGAAAUGUGAGAGAUAGCAGCAGUUAACAGUUUUAUUGUCUUUCCCUUCAUGAACGUCAUGAGCUUACCUCUCAGGGAGAGGUAUGCACAUCCUAAAGGAUCUGCUGUUAUUAUUUGUGUAUGUGAAGAUUUUCAUGUUGUCCAGCUCGAUCCAUGGAUACUCUUCCACUUGGUGUAUUUAUUUUGCACAAUGGAUUAAACAUGUUUACACACAGAAAUUGAAAUUUUGUUCAGCUGGGUGAAGAAAACUAGAUUGGGUUGCACAUAUCGAUGUGUGCUCUUGUGAUAUUUCUUUUUUAUACUUUCUUUGAUACUGCAUGGAAGGAGAAAUAUUUGAUUAGAAAAUGCAAUGUGUAAAAUAUUUUGUUGUAUUAAAGACUCUGUGGAAAAGAAUGUCCUUUGAACGACUGUGUUGGUCUAAGCAGAUGUGUUGCUUGUGACAUUUUU
Pomacea canaliculata is the source of this 2523-nucleotide long non-coding RNA. RefSeq lists it as uncharacterized. The transcript has 5 exons. The record is from RefSeq and is a predicted model, not a curated record. Lineage: Eukaryota; Metazoa; Mollusca; Gastropoda; Architaenioglossa; Ampullariidae.